This 460-nucleotide ribosomal RNA is filed under the name uncultured bacterium. RNAcentral describes it as "partial 16S ribosomal RNA". It matches the Rfam family "Bacterial small subunit ribosomal RNA", at positions 338 to 795 of the family's 1533-position model. The record is from RNAcentral.
CCUACGGGGCGCAGCAGUGAGGAAUAUUGGUCAAUGGGAGGAAUCCUGAACCAGCCAUGCCGCGUGCAGGACGACGGCUCUACGAGUUGUAAACUGCUUUUGUACCGGGGUAAAAUGCUCUACGAGUAGGGUUUUGAAAGUACGGUACGAAUAAGGAUCGGCUAACUCCGUGCCAGCAGCCGCGGUAAUACGGAGGAUCCGAGCGUUAUCCGGAUUUAUUGGGUUUAAAGGGUGCGUCGGUUGUUUUAUAAGUUAGCGGUGAAAUACCGAUGCUCAACAUCGGGGCUGCCGCUGAUACUGUAGGACUAGAGAUCGGAUGCAGCAGGCGGAAUGUGUAGUGUAGCGGUGAAAUGCAUAGAUAUUACACAGAACACCGAUUGCGAAGGCAGCUUGCUAGGCCGGAUCUGACACUGAUGCACGAAAGCGUGGGGAUCGAACAGGAUUAGAUACCCCUGUAGUC